GAUGAACGCUGGCGGCGUGCCUAAUACAUGCAAGUCGAGCGAACAGACGAGGAGCUUGCUCCUCUGACGUUAGCGGCGGACGGGUGAGUAACACGUGGAUAACCUACCUAUAAGACUGGGAUAACUUCGGGAAACCGGAGCUAAUACCGGAUAAUAUAUUGAACCGCAUGGUUCAAUAGUGAAAUACGGUUUUGCUGUCACUUAUAGAUGGAUCCGCGCCGCAUUAGCUAGUUGGUAAGGUAACGGCUUACCAAGGCAACGAUGCGUAGCCGACCUGAGAGGGUGAUCGGCCACACUGGAACUGAGACACGGUCCAGACUCCUACGGGAGGCAGCAGUAGGGAAUCUUCCGCAAUGGGCGAAAGCUUGACGGAGCAACGCCGCGUGAGUGAUGAAGGUCUUCGGAUCGUAAAACUCUGUUAUUAGGGAAGAACAAAUGUGUAAGUAACUAUGCACGUCUUGACGGUACCUAAUCAGAAAGCCACGGCUAACUACGUG
This 497-nucleotide ribosomal RNA is filed under the name uncultured bacterium. RNAcentral's name for it is "partial 16S ribosomal RNA". It matches the Rfam family "Bacterial small subunit ribosomal RNA", at positions 28 to 507 of the family's 1533-position model. The record is from RNAcentral.